CCUACGGGAGGCAGCAGUGAGGAAUAUUGGUCAAUGGAAGAGAUCCUGAACCAGCCAAGCCGCGUGCAGGAAGACGGCCCUAUGAGUUGUAAACCUCUUUUGUCCGAGAACAAACCCCGGUACGCGUCUCUGUCUGCGUGUAUCCGACGAAUAAGCAUCGGCUAACUCCGUGCCAGCAGCCGCGGUAAUACGGAGGAUUCGAGCGUUAUCCGGAUUUAUUGGGUUUAAAGGGUGCGUAGGCGGUCCGUUAAGUCAGAGGUUAAAUCUCGUGGCUCAACCCCGGUAGUGCCGUUGAUAUUGGCAGACUAGAGAGGGGGAGCGGUAGGCGGAAUGUGUGGUGUAGCGGUGAAAUGCAUAGAGAUCGCGCAGAACUCCGAUUGCGAAGGCAGCGUACCGGGGUCAGUCUGACGUUGAGGCACGAAAGCGUGGGGAGCGAACAGGAUUAGAUACCCGUGUAGUC
RNAcentral lists this ribosomal RNA (460 nucleotides) under uncultured bacterium. Its description in RNAcentral is "partial 16S ribosomal RNA". It matches the Rfam family "Bacterial small subunit ribosomal RNA", at positions 338 to 795 of the family's 1533-position model. The record is from RNAcentral.